This 959-nucleotide long non-coding RNA is filed under the name Lupinus angustifolius (narrow-leaved blue lupine). Its description in RNAcentral is "long non-coding RNA (LANG_LNC000140)". Lineage: Eukaryota; Viridiplantae; Streptophyta; Magnoliopsida; Fabales; Fabaceae. The record is from RNAcentral.
CCAUAAAAAAGUUGGCACUAUGGUUUUCGUGAUAAUUCUUUCUUCUCUCUUCCCACAAUAGAAAAGGAGAGAGAAUAUAAGAGAAAGCUAUCAUUUUAGUCCCUUUCUCUUUCUCAGAAGAGAUGAUGAUGGCACGAACUACCUUGGAUUUUUCUUCAACCUUUCAACGCCAUUACCCAACAGCAAUCAUCAUGCCCUCACCCUUCUCUCUCACCUUCCUCCAUAACCAUCAUCAUUACCCCCUCAAAUCUUCCACCACCUCUUAUUAUUCCUUUAUCACAAACAUCAUCAUCAUCAUCCACCUACUUUUUUCUCAUUAUUAUUAUCUCCUUCACCACAAGAACCACUUCUCUUCACAUACAAAACAAGCACAAGAAGAAGAUAACAAAGAAAAAGAAGACAAAUAUGUUGGUGUUCUUAUGCUUAAGAGAAAACCCUACUUUCUUAUCUAGCUAGCUUCAGCAAGCUUUUAUAAGUAUUGAGUUAAAAGGGUUUUGAUAGCUUUUGCUACAAAGAUCCAACAACUAACUCAACUCUUGGGGAAUCAAGCAUCUCGGUCCGAUCCAUUUCUGUUUUGCUUAUAUUAAUAUUCCAUGUUACUAUGUAGCCCUUUUUUAUGUUGUUUUAACUUUAUUAUAGCAAUUUUCAAUUGGAUUCGCAGAAUAUUGAUUAUGUUAGUUUCACUUGCUUUACCACUGUCUUCUGGAUUGGGAAGUGUUAUUACUUAUUGUGAUUUAUCUUUGUCUUGUUGCAGUAUAUAUUUCAACUUUUUUCCAUACAUAGAAUUAAUAACUUGGUGUAUAAAUUAAGGAGAACCAGUUAGAUAGAUAUAUGUGUGUGUUAUUAAUAUUUAAUGGUUUUAUUCUUAUAAGUACAUGCAAUCAUGGUUCUGAGAAUCGAAGAGCCUCGUUUGUGUAACUGUGUAACCAUGUUGUCACUGUAACCAUUCUAAAAUUUUG